RNAcentral lists this ribosomal RNA (565 nucleotides) under uncultured Glomeromycotina. RNAcentral's name for it is "SSU rRNA". It matches the Rfam family "Eukaryotic small subunit ribosomal RNA", at positions 548 to 1114 of the family's 1831-position model. The record is from RNAcentral. Lineage: Eukaryota; Fungi; Glomeromycota.
UUGGAGGGCAAGUCUGGUGCCAGCAGCCGCGGUAAUUCCAGCUCCAAUAGCGUAUAUUAAAGUUGUUGCAGUUAAAAAGCUCGUAGUUGAAUUUCGGGGUCAGUAGGUUGGUCAUGCCACUGGUAUGUACUGGUCUCACUGAUUCCUCCUUCCUGAUGAACUGUAAUGCCAUUAAUUUGGUGUUGCAGGGAAUCUGGACUGUUACUUUGAAAAAAUUAGAGCGUUUAAAGCAGGCUAACGCCUGAAUACAUUAGCAUGGAAUAAUGAAAUAGGACGUUCGAUCCUAUUUUGUUGGUUUCUAGGAUUGACGUAAUGAUUAAUAGGGAUAGUUGGGGGCAUUAGUAUUCAAUUGUCAGAGGUGAAAUUCUUGGAUUUAUUGAAGACUAACUACUGCGAAAGCAUUUGCCAAGGAUGUUUUCAUUAAUCAAGAACGAAAGUUAGGGGAUCGAAGACGAUCAGAUACCGUCGUAGUCUUAACCAUAAACUAUGUCGACUAGGGAUCGGAUGAUGUUAAUUUUUUAAUGACUCAUUCGGCGCCUUACGGGAAACCAAAGUGUUUGGGUUC